RNAcentral lists this unclassified non-coding RNA (369 nucleotides) under fungal sp. RNAcentral describes it as "partial internal transcribed spacer region". Lineage: Eukaryota; Fungi. The record is from RNAcentral.
AAGUCGUAACAAGGUUUCCGUAGGUGAGGAUCAUUAACACGUAUCCAACGUUAAAACAACCCCGUGAACUUUCAGCUUGCUCCUGUAGCCCGUGAAAGCAGCAAUCCCUGGUAAAUCAUUGUUGACCAGCUUUUGAGUCAGAUUGUGAUAUUGUAGAGCUACGGUGCGAUUGCAUCCAGUGACCUGGCAUCCCCAAGUAAUCAGUGUUCUGAAAGUGUCAUUGAUUGUGUAAGGAUGGCGCAUCACGAUCGCUGUAGGCCCACACGGCCGGCGACCGGGUCACCGGGCUCUGCUCCUUUACGACAACUACAGUCAAACUUCGCACGGCACCAAAAACCGAACAACUGUUAACAAUAUAUCUUGGUUCUC